This 301-nucleotide ribosomal RNA is filed under the name uncultured bacterium. RNAcentral's name for it is "partial 16S ribosomal RNA". It matches the Rfam family "Bacterial small subunit ribosomal RNA", at positions 509 to 809 of the family's 1533-position model. The record is from RNAcentral.
CAGUAGCCGCGGGAAUACGAAGGGGGCUAGCGUUGUUCGGAUUAACUGGGCGUAAAGGGUGCGUAGGCGGGCAUUUAAGUCAGGGGUGAAAUCCCAAGGCUCAACCUUGGAACUGCCUUUGAUACUGGAUGUCUUGAGUCCGGGAGAGGUGAGUGGAACUGCGAGUGUAGAGGUGAAAUUCGUAGAUAUUCGCAAGAACACCAGUGGCGAAGGCGGCUCACUGGCCCGGUACUGACGCUGAGGCACGAAAGCGUGGGGAGCAAACAGGAUUAGAUACCCCUGUAGUCCCUGUCUCUUAUAA